This 28-nucleotide non-coding RNA is filed under the name Homo sapiens (human). Lineage: Eukaryota; Metazoa; Chordata; Mammalia; Primates; Hominidae. The record is from RNAcentral.
UCGGAAGUGAGAAUCCCAGCUGUGUGUC